CCCCCCAGUGCGACCACCUCCCCCUCCCGAUCGCGUCACACUCAAGGUCCAAAGAUGGUGUGCGCACUUGUCUGUGGUCAUUUCCCAUUAUAAUGAAUGGGAGGCGCAGUUUCUACCAAAACGGUCGCUGCAGACAAACUACACGUCCUAUUUGAAAAAAGUCUGGACCAUGAGUGAGGGCACAAACACAGCUAGGAUAUAUCCAAAUGGCAGGUUGCUCCUCCUUACGGUGUUGCCUGGAGAGCGAUGCGAUUGAGUCAUUGAGCGAUGGGCAGGAAAAACUUGACUUUUUCUCCUGCCAUGGGGGGGGGGGGGGGGGGGGGAUGUGGAUUCUUUUAAGAAUGUGGAUUUUUGGGUCAUCUUUGGCGCCCCCUAGAACCUAAACCGUGGGGUGCAGCGUCAUGAUUUGAAUAACUUUUAAUGGCCAUGGGGUGUAGAUUGACCUGAGCAAAUGUUGUGCUGAUGGAACGAAAGCCUUCAGAGGAGUUAGCGAAAUUCCGAUGUGUGUGGAUCGGCAAAAAAUGCGAAAUAACCCUUUAACCGUACAUUUUACAGAUACGCGCGCAUUGACUUUUUCGUAGAUCAUAUUGAGAUACACGUGAUUGUCAAAUUUUGUGUCAAUAUGACAAAGCAUGCAGGUGUCACACUCAACAAUGUGAAUUUUCACCUUAGGCGACAAGAAAAAAUGGACUUUUUUCUCCUGCCAUGUGGGGGCGCUCUUUUGGGGAGUAAAAAUUCCUUCACAAAUGUGUUGAUGGCUGGACAUUGCAUCAUCCUAGAAAACUUGGAGGCCAGUGGGGACAAAAAUAAAAAGUUAUAAGACUUUUAAAUAUGUGGAUUUUUGGGUUAUCUUUGGCGCCCCCUAGAACCUAAACCGUGGGGUGCAGCGUCAUGAUUUGAAUAACUUUUAAUAGCCAUGGGGUGUAGAUUGACCUGAGCAAAUGUUGUGCUGAUGGAACGAAAGCCUUCAGAGGAGUUAGCGAAAUUCCGAGGUGUGUGGAUCGGCAAAAAAUGCGAAAUAACCCUUUAACCGUAAAUUUGACAGAAAGGCCUGCACUGACUUUUUUGUAGAUCUUUUGAGAUACAUGUGUGUGUCAAUUUUUGUGUCAAUAUGACAAAGCGUACAGCUGUGACAAUCAAUAGUGUGAAUAGUGUGAGCCAUUGAGCGAUGGGCAGGAAAAACUUGACUUUUUCUCCUGCCAUGGGGGGGCGCUCUUUUGGGGAGUAAAAAUUCCUUCACAAAUGUGUUGAUGGCUAGACAUUGCAUCAUCCUAGAAAACUUGGAAGCCAGUGAGGACAAAAAUGAAAAGUUAUAAGACUUUUCAUAAUGUGGAUUUUUGGGUUAUCUUUGGUGCCCCCUAGAACGUAAACCGUGGGGUGCAGCGUCAUGAUUUGUACAACUUUUAAUGGCCAUGGGGUGUAGAUUGGCCUGAGCAAAUUUGGUGCCGGUGGAACGAAAGCUUUAGGAGGAGUUAGCUACAUUCCAAUGUGUGCGAAUCGAUCAAAAAUGCGUAAUAGCCCUUUAACCGUACAUUUUACAGAUACAUGCGCAUUGACUUUUUCGUAGAUCUUAUUGAGAUACACGUGAUUGUCAAAUUUUGUUUCAAUAUGACAAAGUGUACAGGCGUGACACUCAACAAUGUGUAUUUUCACCUUAUGGGACAAGAAAAAAUGGACUUUUUUCUCCUGCCAAGGGGGGGCGCUCUUUUGGGGAGUAAAAAUUCCUUCACAAAUGUGUUGAUGGCUGGACAUUGCAUCAUCCUAGAAAACUUGGAGGCCAGUGAGGACAAAAAUAAAAAGUUAUAAGACUUUUAAGACUGUGGAUUUUUGGGUUAUAUUUGGCGCCCCCUAGAACGUAAACCGUGGGGUGCAGCGUCAUGAUUUGUACAACUUUUAAUGGCCAUGGGGUGUAGAUUGGCCUGAGCAAAUUUGGUGCCGGUGGAACGAAAGCCUUCGGAGGAGUUAGCGAAAUUCCACUGUGUGCGGAUCGGCAAAAAAUGCGAAAUAGCCCUUUAACCAUACAUUUGACAGAUACGCCCGCACUGACUUUUUUGUAGAUCUUAUUGAGAUACACGUGUGUGUCAAAUUUUGUGUCAUUUUGACAAAGCGUACAGGUGUGACACUCAAUCAAGUGAAUUUUUCACCUUAGGGGGCGCUAUGGAGCCAUUUUGCAUUUGAUUGUUUGGCCGACUUCAGAAUAUCGAAUUUUUCACCAGGCCCGGUCGUCCUGCCAAAUUUCAUGAGUUUUCACCAUUGGGAAGUGGGCCAUUUUCCAGUUCAAAGGGGCAGAAAAAUAACUAGGGCCCCGGUGGGGCACUGUCGGGCCCGAGCCGCGUCGCGCCGCCCCCAGCGCCACCGCCUCCCCCUCCCGAUCACGUCACACCCAAGGUCCAAAGAUGGUGUGCACUCUUGUCUGUGGUCAUUUCCCAUUAUAAUGAAUGGGAGGCGCAGUUUCUACCAAAACGGUCGCUGCAGACAAACUACAUGUCCUAUUUGAAAAAAGUCUGGACCAUGAGUGAGGGCACAAACACAGCUAGGAUAUAUCCAAAUGGCAAGUUGCUCCUCCUUACGGUGUUGCCGGGAGAGCGAGGCGAUUGAGCCAUUGAGCGAUGGGCAGGGUUAACUUGACUUUUUCUCCUGCCUUGGGGGGGGGGGGGGGGGGGAUGUGGAUUCUAUUAAGAAUGUGGAUAUUUGGGUCAUCUUUGGCGCCCCCUAGAACGUAAACCGUGGGGUGCAGCGUCAUGAUUUUUACAACUUUGAAUGGCCAUGGGAUGUAGAUCGGCUUGAGCAAAUUUGGUGUCGGUGGGACGAAAGCCUUAGGAGGAGUUAGCCACAUUCCAAUGUGUGCGAAUCGGCAAACAAUGCGAAGUAGCCCUUUAACCGUACAUUUUACAGAUACGUGCCCAUUGACUUUUUCGUAGAUCUUAUUGAGAUACACAUGAUUGUCAAUUUUUGUGUCAUUUUGACAAAGCGUAUAGGCGUGACAUUCAACAAUGUGUUUUUUCACCUUAGGGGACAAGAAAAAAUGGACUUUUUUCUCCUGCCAUGGGGGGGCGCUCUUUUGGGGAGUAAAAAUUCCUUCACAAAUGUGUUGAUGGCUGGACAUUGCAUUAUCCUAGAAAACUUGGAGGCCAGUGAGGACAAAAAUAAAAAGUUAUAAGACUUUUAAAUAUGUGGAUUUUAGUGUUAUCUUUGGCGCCCCCUAGAACCUAAACCUUGGGGUGCAGCGUCAUGAUUUUGAUAACUUUUAAUGGCCACGGGGUGUAGAUUGGCCUGAGCAAAUGUGGUGCCGGUGGAACGAAAGCCUUCGGAGGAGUUAGCGAAAUUCCAAUGUGUGCGGAUCGGCAAAAAAUGCGAAAUAACCCUUUAACCGUACAUUUGACAGAUACGGCCGCACUGACUUUUUUGUAGAUCUUAUUGAGAUACAUGUGUGUGUCAAUUUUUGUGUCAAUAUGACAAAGCGCACAGGCGUGACAGUCAAUAGUGUGAAUUUUCACCUUAGGGGGUGCUAUGGAGCCAUUUUGCAUUUUAUUGUUUGGGCGACUUCAGAAUAUCGAAUUUUUCACCAGGCCCGGUCGUCCUGUCAAAUUUCAUGAGUUUUCGCCAGUGGGAAGUGGGCCAUUUUCCCCUUCAAAGGGGAGGAAAAAUAAGAAGAAAGAAAGAAAGAAAGAACUAGGGCCCCGUUGGGGCACUGGCGGGCCCGAGCCGUGUCGCGCCGCCCCCAGCGCGACCGCCUACCCCUCCCGAUCGCGUCACACUCAAGGUCCAAAGAUGGUGUGCGCACUUGUCUGUGGUCAUUUACCAUUAUAAUGAAUGGGAGGCGCAGUUUCUACCAAAACGCUCGCUGCAGACAAACUCCAUGUCCUUUUUGAAAAAAGUCUGGACCAUGAGUGAGGGCACAAACACAGCUAGUAUAUAUCCAAAUGGCAAGUUGCUCCUCCUUUCCGUUUUGCCGAGAAAGCGAUGCGCUUGAGCCAUUGAGCGAUGGGCAGGAAAAACUUGACUUUUUCUCCUGCCAUGGGGAGGCGCUCUUUUGGGGAGUAAAAAUUCCCUCACAAAUGUGUUGAUGGCUGGACAUUGCAUCAUCCUAGAAAACUUGGAGGCCAGUGAGGACAAAAAUAAAGAGUUAUAAGACUUCUAAAAAUGUGGAUAUUUGGGGCCUCUUUGGCGCCCCCUUGAACGUAAACCGUGGGGUGCAGCGUCAUGAUUUGUACAACUUUGAAUGGCCAUGGGGUGUAGAUUGACCUGAGCAAAUUUGGUGUCAGUGGGAUGAAAGCCUUAGGAGGAGUUAGCCACAUUCCAAUGUGUGCGAAUCGGCAAAAAAUGCAAAAUAGCCCUUUAACCGUACAUUGAACAGAUACGCUCGCAUUGACUUUUUCAUAGAUCGUAUUGAGAUACAUGUGUGUGUCAAUUUUUGUGUCAUUUUGGCAAAGCGUAAAGGCGUGACAGUCAACAAUGUGUAUUUUCGCCUUAGGAGACAAGAAAAAUGGACUUUUUUCUCCUGCCAUUGGGGGGCGCUCUUUUGGGGAGUAAAAAUUCCUUCACAAAUGUGUUGAUGGCUGGACAUUGCAUCAUCCUAGAGAACUUGGAGGCCAGUGAGGACAAAAAUAAAAAGUUAUAAGACUUUUUAGACUGUGGAUUUUUGGGUUAUCUUUGGCGCCCUCUAGAACGUAAACCGUGGGGUGCAGCGUCAUGAUUUGUACAACUUUUAAUGGCCAUGGGGUGUAGAUUGGCCUGAGCAAAUGUGGUGCCGUUGGAACGAAAGCCUUCGGAGGAGUUAGCGAAAUUCCAAUGUGUGCGGAUCGGCAAAAAAUGCGAAAUAACCCUUUAACCGUACAUUUGACAGAUACGCCCGCACUGACUUUUUUGUAGAUCUUAUUGAGAUACAUGUGUGUGUCAAUUUUUGUGUCAAUAUGACAAAGCGUAAAGGCGUGACAGUCAAUAGUGUGAAUUUUCACCUUAGGGGGCGCUAUGGAGCCAUUUUGCAUUUUAUUGUUUGGGCGACUUCAGAAUAUCGAAUUUUUCACCAGGCCCGGUCGUCCUGCCAAAUUUCAUGAGUUUUCGCCAGUGGGAAGUGGGCCAUUUUCCAGUUUAAAGCGGAGGAAAAAUAAUGAUAAUAAUAAUAACUAGGGCCCCGUUGGGGCACUGGCGGGCCCGAGCCGUGUCGCACCCCCCCUCCCCAACGCGCUGCCUCCCCGUCCCAUUCGCGUCCUCUGGCCAUCGCCCUCUCUGGUAACGCCCAUCACUGCAAAGACCCUUUUCCUUCAUCGGCGUUUGCUGUUCUUCCUGCCAGUGCGUGUUGCUUUCACUUACACUUGCCACAGCCAGCCUCGUGAGUGCCUAGCCUAUUGGAUAUCACUGUCACCUACACAGGACAGUCAUACUUUGUUUUUUAAUUUCACAUUAAUUUCCUUAUUGUAUAAACGACUGGAAAAAACUUGAGCCCCUGCCCCUGUAUAAUCAUGUGCACGUCCCUGUUCUAGCUCCAAGGUGAAUCUUCACUGCUCAUGUUCUCCUCAGAAGCAGUCACCUCACUCCCCUCAGGUUACUGUACACAUGCACCAACUGCCUGCUUCAGGUUUGGAUGGAGCUUCAUGGUUGUCUUUUGGAGAAAUGAGCAGUCAAGUUGUGUUUGAAAUUUGAUUUUUUUCAGGGGCAAAAGGAAGCCUCUGCAUUCUUGUCAAAUAUGUAAAUAGCAUGUUUUUGCAGGUGCUAAAAAACAGACUCUGAGUGUGUGUGUGUGUGUGUGUGUGUGCGUGUGUGUGUGUGUGUGUGUGUCUGUGUGUGUGUGUGUGUGUACCUGCAGUACUCUGAGAAGAAUAAUAAGCAUAUUUCUGAGGUGAAUUUUGAAGAUUCAUCUGAGAGUUAGGUUUGAUUCGAUUCGAUUGACGCUCCCCAGCGUUCAAGUCACAUGACAUAUUUAACCGGAUGUAGCUGCAAGACGGAGCCUCGUUACCUCUCCGUUUCAACUUAUCUCAAAAGUGAGGACCUCAACCUAUAUACCAGUUUUUAAAUUGUGUUGAUAGGCCAAAUAAAACCAGAGUUAUGAUAAAUUAUGUCCGCGAUACUUUUUUUCUGCUUAUUUUGAUCACGUUCGGCGCUCGAUCGCGCUGUAUGAGACAGGAAAACAUAGCAUGCACACAUUAGCGACAGGUCUUACAGGCGGAAAAGGCUUGCCAAAAGAAAAAAAAACACACCACAACAUCUCUCCUAUUGGUGGAAAACUUCACCACAACAACCAAUCCAAAAUUAUAUGGUGACUGAUUGACAAGGGGCGGGCGCUUACGUUCUUCCUGCAACAUGAGAAGGGAGGGAGGGACUCUCAGCAGGGAUGCAGUCUGGGACACGUAGUUGCAAACCUAGCGACUUUGUUGUUAGAUUCAAUGACUUUUCAGACCCCCUAACGACUUUUUUUAGAAAGAAAGGGACUUUUAUCGACUUCUUCUGGAGUUUAGAGACUCUGACAUGAAGCAGGCUUUCCUUACUGAGGAGUUAGCAACGCUGCUAAGGGUGCAGAGCCACACAUGCGCUCCGAGCUCUGCAUGGGAGACUGAAGCUGACAGAGCUGCAGCAGUUAGCAGGUUUCACCCUCAGAGACCACCAGGGGUUCAUGUUGAGGCAUUUUCAGUGUUUUUUUUUUUUGCCAUAGACUGUCAGCACAAUCCGCAGUUACACUAACAAAAAUGCUGCAAAAAACAAAGAAUUAUGGAAAAAUUACACAUGGACUGACAUAGAGGAGGAUCUACACAAGUUUUUUACAUCAUGUUUUACAUCAUGCAUCAUUUACAUCAUGUUUUUUUGUAGUGGCAUAAAUAAAAAGUGACAUUUGUGAGACUAUACAGUGUUUUGUAAAUAAUUUUACAAAGAACGCCUGGGCCAUUGCCUGCAUUUUGAUGUAAAUAGAGGUAAAUUACUAUGUUCUAUGUUAAAAAUUUGCAUAUGUUUUGAAGUUUACAAUUUUUAUUUGAAGUUUAAGUUUUAAAAACAGUUCAUCACACAUAUUUGUGGUUUAAUUUCACAUUAAUUUCCAUAUUGUAUAAAUGACUGGAAAAAACUUGAGCCCCUGCCCCUGUAUAAUCAUGUGCACGUCCCUGUUCUAGCUCCAAGGUGAAUCUUCACUGCUCAUGUUCUCCUCAGAAAUAGUCACCUCACUCCCCUCAGGUUACUGUACACAUGCACCAACUAUCUGCUUCAGGUUUGGAUGGAGCUUCAUGGUUGUCUUUUGGAGAAAUGAACAGUCAAGUUGUGUUUGAAAUCUGAUUUUUUUCAGGGGCAAAAGGAAGCCUCUGCAUUCUUGUCAAAUAUGUAAACAGCAUGUUUUUGCAGGUGCUAAAAAACAGACUCUGAGUGUGUGUGUGUGUGUGUGUGUGUGUGUGUGUGUGUGUGUGUGUGUGUGUGUGUGUAUAUGUGUGUGUAUCCUGCAGUACUCUGUACUCCUGCAGUGGCCAAAAAGACUUUUAAGAAUGUGGAUUUUUGGGUCAUCUUUGGCGCCCCCUAGAACUGCAGUACUCUGUACUCCUGCAGUGGCCAAAAUGACUUUUAAGAAUGUGGAUUUUUGGGUCAUCUUUGGCGCCCCCUAGAACGUAAACCGUGGGGUGCAGCGUCAUGAUUUUUACAACUUUGAAUGGCCAUGGGGUCUAGAUUGCCCUGAGCAAAUUUGGUAUCGGUGGGACGAAAGCCUUAGGAGGAGAUAGCCACAUUCCAAUGUGUGCGAAUCGGCAAAAAAUGCGAAAUAGCCCUUUAACCGUACAUUAUACAGAUACGCGCUUUUUGACUUUUUCGUAGAUCUAAUUGAGAUACACAUGAUUGUCAAUUUUUGUGUCAAUAUGACAAAGCGUUCAGGCGUGACACUCAACAAUGUGUAUUUUCAUGUAAGGGGACAAGAAAAAAUUGACUUUUUUCUCCUGCCAUGGGGGGGGCGCUCUUUUGGGGAGUAAAAAUUCCUUCACAAAUGUGUUGAUGGCUGGACAUUGCAUCAUCCUAGAAAACUUGGAGGGCAGUGAGGACAAAAAUAAAAAGUUAUAAGACUUUUAAGAAUGUGGAUUUUGGGUUAUCUUUGGCGCCCCCUAGAACGUAAACCGUGGGGUGCAGCGUCAUGAUUUGUACAACUUUUAAUGGCCAUGGGGGGUAGAUUGGCCUGCGCAAAUGUGGUGCCGGUCGAACGAAAGCCUUCGGAGGAGUUAGCGAAAUUCCAAUGUGUGCAGAUCUGCAAAAAAUGCAAAAUAACCCAUUAACCGUACAUUUGACAGAUACGCCCGCACUGACUUUUUUGUAGAUCUUAUUGAGAUACAUGUGUGUGUCAUUUUUUGUGUCAAUAUGACAAAGCGUACAGCCGUCAUGUGAAUUUUCACCUUAGGGGGCGCUAUGGAGCCAUUUUGCAUUUUAUUGUUUGGCCGACUUCAGAAUAUCGAAUUUUUCACCAGGCCCGGUCGUCCUGCCAAAUUUCCUGAGUUUUCGCCAGUGGGAAGUGGGCCAUUUUCCAGUUUAAAGCGGAGGAAAAAUAAUAACGAAAGAAGGAAACAUGCAGGAACAAGAGGGCUCUCGCAGCUGCUUAGCAGCUACGCUCGGGCCCUAACUAGGACCCCGUUGGGGCACUGGCGGGCCCGAGCCGUGUCGCAUCCCCCCCCCCCCAACGUGCUGCCUUCCCGUCCCAUUUGUGUCCUCUGGCCAUCGCCCUCUCUGGUAACGCCCAUCACUGCAAAGACCCUUUUCCUUCAUCGGCGUUUGCUGUUCUUCCUGCCAGUGCGUGUUGCUUUCACUUACACUUGCCACAGCCAGCCUCGUGAGUGCCUAGCCUUUUGGAUAUCACUGUCACCUACACAGGACAGUCAUUACCUUUCUAUUAAUACUUUGUGUUUUAAUUUCACUUUAAUUUCCAUUUUGUAUAAACGACUGGAAAAAACUUGAGCCCCUGCCCCUGUAUAAUCAUGUGCAUGUCUCUGUUCUAGCUCCAAGGUGAAUCUUCACUGCUCAUGUUCUCCUCAGAAGCACUCACCUCACUCCCCUCAGGUUACUGUACACAUGCACCAACUGCCUGCUUCAGGUUUGGAUGGAGCUUCAUGGUUGUCUUUUGGAGAAAUGACCAGUCAAGUUGUGUUUGAAAUUUGAUUUUUUCAGGGGCAAAAGGAGCCUCUGCAUUCUUGUCAAAUAUGUAAAUAGCAUGUUUUUGCAGGUGCUAAAAACCAGACUCUGAGUGUGUGUGUGUGUGUGUGUGUGUGUGUGUGUGUGUGUGUGUCUGUGUGUGCGUUCAAGUCACAUGACAUAUUUAACCGGAUGUAGCUGCAAGACGGAGCCUCGUUGACUCUCCGUUUCAACUUAUCUCAAAAGUGAGGACCUCAACCUAUAUACCAGUUUUUAAAUUGUGUUGAUAGGCCAAAUAAAACCAGAGUUAUGAUAAAUUAUGUCCGCGAUACUUUUUUUCUGCUUAUUUUGAUCACGUUCGGCGCUCGAUCGCGCUGUAUGAGACAGGAAAACAUAGCAUGCAGACAUUAGCGACAGGUCUUACAGGCGGAAAAGGCUUGCCAAAAGAAAAAAAAAACACACCACAACAUCUCUCCUAUUGGUGGAAAACUUCACCACAACAACCAAUCCAAAAUUAUAUGGUGACUGAUUGACAAGGGGCGGGCGCUUACGUUCUUCCUGCAACAUGAGAAGGGAGGGAGGGACUCUCAGCAGGGAUGCAGUCUGGGACACGUAGUUGCAAACCUAGCGACUUUGUUGUUAGAUUCAAUGACUUUUCAGACCCCCUAACGACUUUUUUUUAGAAAGAAAGGGACUUUUAUCGACUUCUUCUGGAGUUUAGAGACUCUGACAUGAAGCAGGCUUUCCUUACUGAGGAGUUAGCAACGCUGCUAAGGGUGCAGAGCCACACAUGCGCUCAGAGCUCUGCAUGGGAGACUGAAGCUGACAGAGCUGCAGCAGUUAGCAGGUUUCACCCUCAGAGACCACCAGGGGUUCAUGUUGAGGCAUUUUGAAUUUUUUUUUUUUUGUGCCAUAGACACUGUCAGCACAAUCUGCAGUUACACUAACAAAAAUGCUGCAAAAAACAAAGAAUUAUGGAAAAAUUACACAUGGACUGACAUAGAGGAGGAUCUACACAAGUUUUUUACAUCAUGUUUUACAUCAUGCAUCAUUUACAUCAUGUUUUUUUGUAGUGGCAUAAAUAAAAAGUGACAUUUGUGAGCCUAUACAGUGUUUUGUAAAUAAUUUUACAAAGAACGCCUGGGCCAUUGCCUGCAUUUUGAUGUAAAUAGAGGUAAAUCACUAUGUUCUUUGUUUAAAAUUUGCAUAUGUUUUGAAGUUUACAAUUUUUAUUUGAAGUUUAAGUUUUAAAAACAGUUCAUCACACAUAUUUGUGGUUUUCACAGUAAAAAUGUUACUUUUUUCCACUCGGAUUUUAUGUUUUGUGUGUGAAUUUGGGUCCAUUGUGUAAAUUCAGUAUGUCAACAUGAUAAAAUAACUGUAAAUUCGCACAGGUGAGGUUGUGCUGAAAAAAAUGAUACCAGGCAAGGCACGUGAUUGUCAAAUUUUGUGUCAAUAUGACAAAGCGUAUAGGCGUGAAUCUCAACAAUAUGUAUUUUCACCUUAGGGGACAAGAAAAAAUGGACUUUUUUCUCCUGCCAUGGGGGGGGCGCUCUUUUGGGGAGUAAAAAUUCCUUCACAAAUGUGUUGAUGGCUGGACAUUGCAUCAUCCUAGAAAACUUGGAGGCCAGUGAGGACAAAAAUAAAAAGUUAUAAGACUUUUAAAUAUGUGGAUUUUAGGGUUAUCUUUGGCCCCCCCUAGAACCUAAACCGUGGGGUGCAGCGUCAUGAUUUGAAUAACUUUUAAUGGCCAUGGGGUGUAGAUUGGCCUGAGCAAAUGUGGUGCCGGUGGAACGAAAGCCUUAGGAGGAGUUAGCCACAUUCCAAUGUGUGCGGAUCGGCAAAAAAUGCGGAAUAACCCUUUAACCGUACAUUUGACAGAUACGCGCGCAUUGACUUUUUCGUAGAUCUUAUUGAGUUACAUGUGUGUGUCAAUUUUUGUGUCAUUUUGACAAAGCGUAUAGGCGUGACACUCAACAAUGUGUAUUUUUACCUUAGGGGACAAGAAAAAAUGGACUUUUUUCUCCUGCCAUGGGGGGGCGCUCUUUUGGGGAGUAAAAAUUCCUUCACAAAUGUGUUGAUGGCUGGACAUUGCAUCAUCCUAGAAAACUUGGAGGCCAGUGAGGACAAAAAUAAAAAGUUAUAAGACUUUUAAAUAUGUGGAUUUUAGUGUUAUCUUUGGCGCCCCCUAGAACCUAAACCUUGGGGUGCAGCGUCAUGAUUUUGAUAACUUUUAAUGGCCACGGGGUGUAGAUUGGCCUGAGCAAAUGUGGUGCCGGUGGAACGAAAGCCUUCGGAGGAGUUAGCGAAAUUCCAAUGUGUGCGGAUCGGCAAAAAAUGCGGAAUAACCCUUUAACCGUACAUUUGACAGAUACGCGCGCAUUGACUUUUUCGUAGAUCUUAUUGAGUUACAUGUGUGUGUCAAUUUUUGUGUCACUUUGACAAAGCGUAUAGGCGUGACACUCAACAAUGUGUAUUUUCACCUUAGGGGACAAGAAAAAAUGGACUUUUUUCUCCUGCCAUGGGGGGGCGCUCUUUUGGGGAGUAAAAAUUCCUUCACAAAUGUGUUGAUGGCUGGACAUUGCAUCAUCCUAGAAAACUUGGAGGCCAGUGAGGACAAAAAUAAAAAGUUAUAAGACUUUUAAAUAUGUGGAUUUUAGUGUUAUCUUUGGCGCCCCCUAGAACCUAAACCUUGGGGUGCAGCGUCAUGAUUUUGAUAACUUUUAAUGGCCAAGGGGUGUAGAUUGGCCUGAGCAAAUGUGGUGCCGGUGGAACGAAAGCCUUCGGAGGAGUUAGCGAAAUUCCAAUGUGUGCGGAUCGGCAAAAAAUGCGAAAUAACCCUUUAACCGUAAUUUUGACAGAUACGGCCGCACUGACUUUUUUGUAGAUCUUAUUGAGAUACAUAUGUGUGUCAAUUUUUGUGUCAAUAUGACAAAGCGUACAGGCGUGACAGUCAAUAGUGUGAAUUUCCACCUUAGGGGGCGCUAUGGAGCCAUUUUGCAUUUUAUUGUUUGGGCGACUUCAGAAUAUCGAAUUUUUCACCAGGCCCGGUCGUCCUGCCAAAUUUCAUGAGUUUUCGCCAGUGGGAAGUGGGCCAUUUUCCAGUUCAAAGGGGAGGAAAAAGAAGAAAGAAAGAAAGAAAGAAAGAAACAAAGAAAAACCACUUGGGGAAUAAUAGGGCCUACGCCCGGCUGCUCUGCAGCUGGCUCGGGCCCUAACUAGGGCCCCGUUGGGGCACUGGCGGGCCCGAGCCGUGUCGCACCCCCCCCCCCCCCCCAACGCGCUGCCUCCCCGUCCCAUUCGUGUCCUCUGGCCAUCGCCCUCUCUGGUAACGCCCAUCACUGCAAAGACCCUUUUCCUUCAUCGGCGUUUGCUGUUCUUCCUGCCAGUGCGUGUUGCUUUCACUUACACUUGCCACAGCCAGCCUCGUGAGUGCCUAGCCUAUUGGAUAUCACUGUCACCUACACAGGACAGUCAUACUUUGUUUUUUAAUUUCACAUUAAUUUCCAUAUUGUAUAAACGACUGGAAAAAACUUGAGCCCCUGCCCCUGUAUUAUCAUGUGCACGUCCCUGUUCUAGCUCCAAGGUGAAUCUUCACUGCUCAUGUUCUCCUCAGAAGCAGUCACCUCACUCCCCUCAGGUUACUGUACACAUGCACCAACUGCCUGCUUCAGGUUUGGAUGGAGCUUCAUGGUUGUCUUUUGGAGAAAUGACCAGUCAAGUUGUGUUUGAAAUUUGAUUUUUUUCAGGGGCAAAAGGAAGCCUCCGCAUUCUUGUCAAAUAUGUAAAUAGCAUGUUUUUGCAGGUGCUAAAAAACAGACUCUGAGUGUGUGUGUGUGUGUGUGUGUGUGUGUGUGUGUGUGUGUGUGUGUGUGUGUGUGUGUGUGUGUGUGUCUGUGUGUGUGUGUGUGUGUGUAUCCUGCAGUACUCUGAGAAGAAUAAUAAGCAUAUUUCUGAGGUGAAUUUUGAAGAUUCAUCUGAGAGUUAGGUUUGAUUCGAUUCGAUUGACGCUCCCCAGCGUUCAAGUCACAUGACAUAUUUAACCGGAUGUAGCUGCAAGACGGAGCCUCGUUAACUCUCCGUUUCAACUUAUCUCAAAAGUGAGGACCUCAACCUAUAUACCAGUUUUUAAAUUGUGUUGAUAGGCCAAAUAAAACCAGAGUUAUGAUAAAUUAUGUCCGCGAUACUUUUUUUCUGCUUAUUUUGAUCACGUUCGGCGCUCGAUCGCGCUGUAUGAGACAGGAAAACAUUGCAUGCACACAUUAGUGACAGAUCAUACAGGCGGAAAAGGCUUGCCAAAAGAAAAAAAAAACACACCACAACAUCUCUCCUAUUGGUGGAAAACUUCACCACAACAACCAAUCCAAAAUUAUAUGGUGACUGAUUGACAAGGGGCGGGCGCUUACGUUCUUCCUGCAACAUGAGAAGGGAGGGAGGGACUCUCAGCAGGGAUGCAGUCUGGGACACGUAGUUGCAAACCUAGCGACUUUGUUGUUAGAUUCAAUUACUUUUCAGACCCCCUAACGACUUUUUUUAGAAAGAAAGGGACUUUUAUCGACUUCUUCUGGAGUUUAGAGACUCUGACAUGAAGCAGGCUUUCCUUACUGAGGAGUUAGCAACGCUGCUAAGGGUGCAGAGCCACACAUGCGCUCCGAGCUCUGCAUGGGAGACAGAAGCUGACAGAGCUGCAGCAGUUAGCAGGUUUCACCCUCAGAGACCACCAGGGGUUCAUGUUGAGGCAUUUUCAGUUUUUUUUUUUUUGCCAUAGACAGUCAGCACAAUCUGCAGUUACACUAACAAAAAUGCUGCAAAAAACAAAGAAUUAUGGAAAAAUUACACAUGGACUGACAUAGAGGAGGAUCUACACAAGUUUUUUACAUCAUGUUUUACAUCAUGCAUCAUUUACAUCAUGUUUUUUUGUAGUGGCAUAAAUAAAAAGUGACAUUUGUGAGACUAUACAGUGUUUUGUAAAUAAUUUUACAAAGAACGCCUGGGCCAUUGCCUGCAUUUUGAUGUAAAUAGAGGUAAAUUACUAUGUUCUUUGUUAAAAAUUUGCAUAUGUUUUGAAGUUUACAAUUUUUAUUUGAAGUUUAAGUUUUAAAAACAGUUCAUCACACAUAUUUGUGGUUUAAUUUCACAUUAAUUUCCAUAUUGUAUAAAUGACUGGAAAAAACUUGAGCCCCUGCCCCUGUAUAAUCAUGUGCACGUCCCUGUUCUAGCUCCAAGGUGAAUCUUCACUGCUCAUGUUCUCCUCAGAAAUAGUCACCUCACUCUCCUCAGGUUACUGUACACAUGCACCAACUAUCUGCUUCAGGUUUUGAUGGAGCUUCAUGGUUGUCUUUUGGAGAAAUGAACAGUCAAGUUGUGUUUGAAAUCUGAUUUUUUUCAGGGGCAAAAGGAAGCCUCUGCAUUCUUGUCAAAUAUGUAAACAGCAUGUUUUUGCAGGUGCUAAAAAACAGACUCUGAGUGUGUGUGUGUGUGUGUGUGUGUGUGUGUGUGUGUGUGUGUGUAUAUGUGUGUGUAUCCUGCAGUACUCUGUACUCCUGCAGUGGCCAAAAAGACUUUUAAGAAUGUGGAUUUUUGGGUCAUCUUUGGCGCCCCCUAGAACUGCAGUACUCUGUACUCCUGCAGUGGCCAAAAUGACUUUUAAGAAUGCUGAUUUUUGGGUCAUCUUUGGCGCCCCCUAGAACGUAAACCGUGGGGUGCAGCGUCAUGAUUUUUACAACUUUGAAUGGGCAUGGGGUGUAGAUUGCCCUGAGCAAAUUUGGUAUCGGUGGGACGAAAGCCUUAGGAGGAGAUAGCCACAUUCCAGUGUGUGCGAAUCGGCAAAAAAUGCGAAAUAGCCCUUUAACCGUACAUUAUACAGAUACGCGCUUUUUGACUUUUUCGUAGAUCUAAUUGAGAUACACAUGAUUGUCAAUUUUUGUGUCAAUAUGACAAAGCGUUCAGGCGUGACACUCAACAAUGUGUAUUUUCAUGUAAGGGGACAAGAAAAAAUGGACUUUUUUCUCCUGCCAUGGGGGGGCGCUCUUUUGGGGAGUAAAAAUUCCUUCACAAAUGUGUUGAUGGCUGGACAUUGCAUCAUCCUAGAAAACUUGGAGGGCAGUGAGGACAAAAAUAAAAAGUUAUAAGACUUUUAAGAAUGUGGAUUUUGGGUUAUCUUUGGCGCCCCCUAGAACGUAAACUGUGGGGUGCAGUGUCAUGAUUUGUACAACUUUUAAUGGCCAUGGGGGGUAGAUUGGCCUGCGCAAAUGUGGUGCCGGUCGAACGAAAGCCUUCGGAGGAGUUAGUGAAAUUCCAAUGUGUGCAGAUCUGCAAAAAAUGCAAAAUAACCCAUUAACCGUACAUUUGACAGAUACGCCCGCACUGACUUUUUUGUAGAUCUUAUUGAGAUACAUGUGUGUGUCAAUUUUUGUGUCAAUAUGACAAAGCGUACAGCCGUCAUGUGAAUUUUCACCUUAGGGGGCGCUAUGGAGCCAUUUUGCAUUUUAUUGUUUGGGCGACUUCAGAAUAUCGAAUUUUUCACCAGGCCCGGUCGUCCUGCCAAAUUUCAUGAGUUUUCGCCAGUGGGAAGUGGGCCAUUUUCCAGUUCAAAGGGGAGGAAAAAUAAUAACUAGGGCCCCGGUGGGGCACUGGCGGGCCCGAGCCGUGUCGUGCCGCCCCCAGCGCGACCGCCUACCCCUCCCGAUCGCGUCACACUCAAGGUCCAAAGAUGGUGUGCGCACUUGUCUGUGGUCAUUUACCAUUAUAAUGAAUGGGAGGCGCAGUUUCUACCAAAUUGCUCGCUGCAGACAAACUCCAUGUCCUUUUUGAAAAAAGUCUGGACCAUGAGUGAGGGCACAAACACAGCUAGUAUAUAUCCAAAUGGCAAGUUGCUCCUCCUUUCAGUUUUGCCGAGAGAGUGAUGCGUUUGAGCCAUUGAGCGAUGGGCAGGAAAAACUUGACUUUUUCUCCUGCCAUGGGGGGGCGCUCUUUUGGGGAGAAAAAAUUCCUUCACAAAUGUGUUGAUGGCUGGACAUUGCAUCAUCCUAGAAAACUUGGAGGCCAGUGAGGACAAAUAUAAAAAGUUAUAAGACUUUUAAAAAUGUGGAUAUUUGGGUCCUCUUUGGCGCCCCCUAGAACGUAGACCGUGGGGUGCAGUGUCAUGAUUUUUACAACUUUGAAUGGCCAUGGGAUGUAGAUUGGUCUGAGCAAAUUUGGUGUCAGUGGGACGAAAGCCUUAGGAGGAGUUAGCCACAUUCCAAUGUGUGCGAAUCGGCAAAAAAUGCAAAAUAGCCCUUUAACCGUACAUUUUACAGAUACGCGCGCAUUGACUUUUUCAUAGAUCUUAUUGAGAUACACGUGAUUAUUAGAUUUUGUGUCAAUAUGACAAAGCGUACAAGUGUGACAUUCAACAAUGUGUAUUUUCGCCUAAGGGGACAAGAAAAAAUGGACUUUUUUCUCCUGCCAUGGGGGGGGCGCUCUUUUGGGGAGUAAAAAUUCCUUCACAAAUGUGUUGAUGGCUGGACAUUGCAUCAUCCUAGAAAACUUGGAGGCCAGUGAGGACAAAAAUAAAAAGUUAUAAGACUUUUAAAUAUGUGGAUUUUAGGGUUAUCUUUGGCGCCCCCUAGAACCUAAACCGUGGGGUGCAGCGUCAUGAUUUUGAUAACUUUUAAUGGCCAUGGGGUGUAGAUUGGCCUGAGCAAAUGUGGUGCCGGUGGAACGAAAGCCUUAGGAGGAGUUAGCCACAUUCCAAUGUGUGCGGAUCGGCAAAAAAUGCGGAAUAACCCUUUAACCGUACAUUUGACAGAUACGCGCGCAUUGACUUUUUCGUAGAUCUUAUUGAGUUACAUGUGUGUGUCAAUUUUUGUGUCAUUUUGAAAAAAGCGUAUAGGCGUGACACUCAACAAUGUGUAUUUUCACCUUAGGGGACAAGAAAAAAUUGACUUUUUUCUCCUGCCAUGGGGGGGCGCUCUUUUGGGGAGUAAAAAUUCCUUCACAAAUAUGUUGAUGGCUGGACAUUGCAUCAUCCUAGAAAACUUGGAGGCCAGUGAGGACAAAAAUAUAAAGUUAUAAGACUUUUAAAUAUGUGGAUUUUAGUGUUAUCUUUGGCGCCCCCUAGAACCUAAACCGUGGGGUGCAGCGUCAUGAUUUGUACAACUUUUAAUGGCCACGGGGUGUAGAUUGGCCUGAGCAAAUGUGGUGCCGUUGGAACGAAAGCCUUCGGAGGAGUUAGCGAAAUUCCAAUGUGUGCGGAUCGGCAAAAAAUGCGAAAUAACCCUUUAACCGUAAUUUUGACAGAUACGGCCGCACUGACUUUUUUGUAGAUCUUAUUGAGAUACAUAUGUGUGUCAAUUUUUGUGUCAAUAUGACAAAGCGUACAGGCGUGACAGUCAAUAGUGUGAAUUUCCACCUUAGGGGGCGCUAUGGAGCCAUUUUGCAUUUUAUUGUUUGGGCGACUUCAGAAUAUCGAAUUUUUCACCAGGCCCGGUCGUCCUGCCAAAUUUCAUGAGUUUUCGCCAGUGGGAAGUGGGCCAUUUUCCAGUUCAAAGGGGAGGAAAAAGAAGAAAGAAAGAACUAGGGCCCCGUUGGGGCACUGGCGGGCCCGAGCUGUGUCGCCCCCCCCCCCCCCCCCCCCCCAACGCGCUGCCUCCCCGUCCCAUUCGCGUCCUCUGGCCAUCGUCCUCUCUGGUAACGCCCAUCACUGCAAAGACCCUUUUCCUUCAUCGGCGUUUGCUGUUCUUCCUGCCAGUGCGUGUUGCUUUCACUUACACUUGCCACAGCCAGCCUUGUGAGUGCCUAGCCUAUUGGAUAUCACUGUCACCUACACAGGACAGUCAUUACCUUUCUAUUAAUACUUUGUUUUUUAAUUUCACAUUAAUUUCCAUAUUGUAUAAACGACUGGAAAAAACUUGAGCCCCUGCCCCCGUAUAAUCAUGUGCACGUCCCUGUUCUCGCUCCAAGGUGAAUCUUCACUGCUCAUGUUCUCCUCAGAAGCAGUCACCUCACUCCCCUCAGGUUACUGUACACAUGCACCAACUGCCUGCUUCAGGUUUGGAUGGAGCUUCAUGGUUGUCUUUUGGAGAAAUGAGCAGUCAAGUUGUGUUAGAAAUUUGAUUUUUUUCAGGGGCAAAAGGAAGCCUCUGCAUUGUUGUCAAAUAUGUAAAUAGCAUGUUUUUGCAGGUGCUAAAAAACAGACUCUGAGUGUGUGUGUGUGUGUGUGUGUGUGUGUGUGUCUGUGUGUGUGUGUGUCUGUGUGUGUGUAUCCUGCAGUACUCUGUACUCCUGCAGUGGCCAAAACGACUUUUAAGAAUGUGGAUAUUUGGGUCAUCUUUGGCGCCCCCUAGAACGUAAACCAUGGGGUGCAGCGGCAUGAUUUUUACAACUUUGAAUGGCCAUGGGGUGUAGAUUGGCCUGAGCAAAUUUGGUGUCAGUGGGACGAAAGCCUUAGGAGGAGUUAGCCACAUUCCAAUGUGUGCGAAUCGGCAAAAAAUGCAAAAUAGCCCUUUAGCCGUACAUUUUACAGAUACGCGCCCAUUGACUUUUUCGUAGAUCUUAUUGAGAUACACGUGUGUGUCAAAUUUUUUGUCAAUACGACAAAGCGUACAGGCGUGACACUCAACAAUGUGUAUUUUCACCUUAGGGGACAAGAAAAAAUGGACUUUUUAUUCCUGCCAUGGGGGGGCGCUCUUUUGGGGAGUAAAAAUUCCUUCACAAAUGUGUUGAUGGCUGGACAUUGCAUCAUCCUAGAAAACUUGGAGGCCAGUGAGGACAAAAAAAAAAAUUUAUAAAACUUUUAAGAAUGUGGAUUUUUGGGUUAUUUUUGGCGCCCCCUAGAACCUAAACCAUGGGGUGCAGCAUUAUGAUUUGUACAACUUUGAAUGGCCAUGGAGUGUAGAUUGGCCUGAGCAAAUGUGGUGCCGGUGGAACGAAAGCCUUCGGAGGAGUUAGCGAAAUUCCAAUGUGUGCGGAUCUGCAAAAAAUGCAAAAUAACCCUUUAACCGUACAUUUGACAGAUACGCCCGCACUGACUUUUUUGUAGAUCUUAUUGAGAUACAUGUGUGUGUCAAUUUUUGUGUCAAUAUGACAAAGCGUACAGGCGUGACAGUCAAUAGUGUGAAUUUUCACCUUAGGGGGCGCUAUGGAGCCAUUUUGCAUUUUCUUGUUUGGGCGACUUCAGAAUAUCGAAUUUUUCACCAGGCCCGGUCGUCCUGCCAAAUUUCAUGAGUUUUCGCCAGUGGGAAGUGGGCCAUUUUCCAGUUUAAAGCGGAGGAAAAAUAAUAAUAAUAACAAAAGAAGAAUCCAUCAGGAACAAGAGGGCUCUCGCAGCUGCUUAGCAGCUACGCUCGGGCCCUAAAGAACUAGGGCCCCGUUGGGGCACUGGCGGGCCCGAGCCGUGUCGCGCCGCCCCCAGCGCGACCGCCUACCCCUCCCGAUCGCGUCACACUCAAGGUCCAAAGAUGGUGUGCGCACUUGUCUGUGGUCAUUUACCAUUAUAAUGAAUGGGAGGCGCAGUUUCUACCAAAACGCUCGCUGCAGACAAACUCCAUGUCCUUUUUGAAAAAAGUCUGGACCAUGAGUGAGGGCACAAACACAGCUAGUAUAUAUCCAAAUGGCAAGUUGCUCCUCCUUUCGGUUUUGCCGAGAGAGCGAUGCGUUUGAGCCAUUGAGCGAUGGGCAGGAAAAACUUGACUUUUUCUCCUGCCAUGGGGGGCGCUCUUUUGGGGAGAAAAAAUUCCUUCACAAAUGUGUUGAUGGCUGGACAUUGCAUCAUCCUAGAAAACUUGGAGGCCAGUGAGGACAAAAAUAAAAAGUUAUAAGACUUUUAAAAAUGUGGAUAUUUGGGUCCUCUUUGGCGCCCCCUAGAACGUAAACUGUGGGGUGCAGCGUCAUGAUUUGUACAACUUUGAAUGGCCAUGGGGUGUAGAUUGACCUGAGCAAAUUUGAAGCCGACGGGACAAAAGAUUUAGGAGGAGUUAGCCACAUUCCAAUGUGUGCGAAUCGGCAAAAAAUGCGAAAUAGCCCUUUAACCGUACAUUGAACAGAUACGCUCGCAUUGACUUUUUCGUAGAUCUUAUUGAGAUACAUGUGUGUGUCAAAUUUUGUGUCAUUUUGACAAAGCGUAAAGGCGUGACAGUCAACAAUGUGUAUUUUCGCCUUAGGAGACAAGAAAAAAUGGACUUUUUUCUCCUGCCAUGGGGGGGGGCGCUCUUUUGGCGAGUAAAAAUUCCUUCACAAAUGUGUUGAUGGCUGGACAUUGCAUCAUCCUAGAGAACUUGGAGGCCAGUGAGGACAAAAAUAAAAAGUUAUAAGACUUUUAAGACUGUGGAUUUUUGGGUUAUCUUUGGCGCCCCCUAGAACGUAAACCGUGGGGUGCAGCGUCAUGAUUUGUACAACUUUUAAUGGCCAUGGGGUGUAGAUUGGCCUGAGCAAAUGUGGUGCCUUUGGAACGAAAGCCUUCGGAGGAGUUAGCGAAAUUCCAAUGUGUGCGGAUCGGCAAAAAAUGCGAAAUAGCCCUUUAACCGUACAUUUGACAGAUACGCUCGCACUGACUUUUUUGUAGAUCUUAUUGAGAUACAUAUGUGUAUCCGUGUCGGCCCCCCCCCCCCCACCAAUGCGCUGCCUCCCCUUCCCAUUCGCGUCCUCUGGCCAUCGUCCUCUCUGGUAACGCCCAUCACUGCAAAGACCCUUUUCCUUCAUCGGCGUUUGCUGUUCUUCCUGCCAGUGCGUGUUGCUUUCACUUACACUUGCCACAGCCAGCCUCGUGAGUGCCUAGCCUAUUGGAUAUCACUGUCACCUACACAGGACAGUCAUUACCUUUCUAUUAAUACUUUGUUUUUUAAUUUCACAUUAAUUUCCAUAUUGUAUAAACGACUGGAAAAAACUUGAGCCCCUGCCCCUGUAUAAUCAUGUGCACGUCCCUGUUCUCGCUCCAAGGUGAAUCUUCACUGCUCAUGUUCUCCUCAGAAGCACUCACCUCACUCCCCUCAGGUAACUGUACACAUGCACCAACUGCCUGCUUCAGGUUUGGAUGGAGCUUCAUGGUUGUCUUUUGGAGAAAUGACCAGUCAAGUUGUGUUUGAAAUUUGAUUUUUUUCAGGGGCAAAAGGAGCCUCUGCAUUGUUGUCAAAUAUGUAAAUAGCAUGUUUUUGCAGGUGCUAAAAAACAGACUCUGAGUGUGUGUGUGUGUGUGUGUGUGUGUGUGUGUGUGUGUGUGUGUGUGUGUGUGUGUGUCUGUGUUUGUGUGUGUCUGUGUGUGUGUAUCCUGCAGUACUCUGUACUCCUGCAGUGGCCAAAACGACUUUUAAGAAUGUGGAUAUUUGGGUCAUCUUUGGCGCCCCCUAGAACGUAAACCAUGGGGUGCAGCGGCAUGAUUUUUACAACUUUGAAUGGCCAUGGGAUGUAGAUCGGCUUGAGCAAAUUUGGUGUCGGUGGGAAGAAAGCCUUAGGAGGAGUUAGCCACAUUCCAAUGUGUGCGAAUCUGCAAAAAAUGCGAAAUAGCCCUUUAACCAUACAUUUUACAGAUACGUGCCCAUUGACUUUUUCGUAGAUCUUAUUGAGAUACACGUGAUUGUCAAAUUUUGGGUCAAUAUGACAAAGCGUAUAGGCGUGACACUCAACAAUGUGUAUUUUCACCUUAGGGGACAAGAAAAAAUGGACUUUUUUCUCCUGCCAUGUGGGGGCGCUCUUUUGGGGAGUAAAAAUUCCUUCACAAAUGUGUUGAUGGCUGGACAUUGCAUCAUCCUAGAGAACUUGGAGGCCAGUGAGGACAAAAAUAAAAAGUUAUAAGACUUUUAAGACUGUGGAUUUUUGGGUUAUCUUUGGCGCCCCCUAGAACGUAAACUGUGGGGUGCAGCGUCAUGAUUUGUACAACUUUUAAUGGCCAUGGGGUGUAGAUUGGCCUGAGCAAAUGUGGUGCCGGUGGAACGAAUGCCUUCGGAGGAGUUAGCGAAAUUCCAAUGUGUGCAGAUCGGCAAAAAAUGCGAAAUAACCCUCUAACUGUACAUUUCACAGAUGCGCCCGCGCUGACUUUUUCGUAGAACGUAUUGAGAUACACGUGUGUGUCAAUUUUUGUGUCAAUAUGACAAAGCGUACAGGCGUGACAGUCAAUAGUGUGAAUUUUCGCCUUAGGGGGCGCUAUGGAGCCAUUUUGCAUUUUAUUGUUUGGGCGACUUCAGAAUAUCGAAUUUUUCACCAGGCCCGGUCGUCCUGCCAAAUUUCAUGAGUUUUCGCCAGUGGGAAGUCGGCCAUUUUCCAGUUUAAAGCGGAGGAAAAAUAAUAAUAAUAACAAAAGAAGAAUCCAUCAGGAACAAGAGGGCUCUCGCAGCUGCUUAGCAGCUACGCUCGGGCCCUAAAGAAAGAAAGAAACAAAGAAAAACCACUUGGGGAAUAAUAGGGCCUACGCCCGGCUGCUCUGCAGCUGGCUCGGGCCCUAAAGAAAGAAAGAAAGAAAGAAGAAAGAAAAACCUAUACAGGAAUAAUAGGGCUCUACGCCCGGCUGCUCUGCAGCUGGCUCGGGCCCUAACUAGGGCCCCGGUGGGGCACUGGCGGGCCCGAGCCGUGUCGCGCCGCCCCCAGCGCGACCGCCUCCCCCACCCAAUCGCGUCACACUCAAGGUCCAAAGAUGGUGUACGCACUUGUCUGUGGUCAUUUACCAUUAUAAUGAAUGGGAGGCGCAGUUUCUACCAAAACGCUCGCUGCAGAAAAACUCCAUGUCCUAUUUGAAAAAAGUCUGGACCAUGAGUGAGGGCACAAACACAGCUAAGAUAUAUCCAAAUGGCAAGUUGCUCCUCCUUUCGCUUUUGCCGAGAGAGCGAUGCGUUUGAGCCAUUGAACGAUGAACAGGAAAAACUUGACUUUAUUCUCCUGCCAUGGGGGGGCGCUCUUUUAACGAGAAAAAACUCCUUCACAAAUGUGUUGAUGGCUGGACAUUGCAUCAUCCUAGAAAACAUGGAGGCCAGUGAGGACAAAAAUAAAAUGUUAUAACACUUUUAAGAAUAUGGAUAUUUGGGUCAUCUUUGGCGCCCCCUAGAACUUAAACCGUGGGGUGCAGCGUCAUGAUUUUUACAACUUUGAAUGGCCAUGGGGUGUAGAUUGGCCUGAGCAAAUUUGGUGCCGGUGGAGCGAAAGCCUUCGGAGGAGUUAGCUACAUUCCAAUGUGUGCGAAUCGGCAAAAAAUGCGAAAUAGCCCUUUAACCGUACAUUUGACAGAUACGCCUGCAUUUACUUUUUCGUAGAUCUUAUUGAGAUACACGUGUGUGUUGAAUUUUGUGUCAUUUUGACAAAGCGUACAGGCAUGACACUCAACAAUGUGUAUUUUCACCUUAGGGGACAAGAAAAAAUGGACUUUUUUCUCCUGCCAUGGGGGGGCGCUCUUUUGGGGAGUAAACAUUCCUUCACAAAUGUGUUGAUGGCUGGACAUUGCAUCAUCCUAGAAAACUUGGAGGCCAGUGAGGACAAAAAUAAAAAGUUAUAAGACUUUUAAAAAUGUGGAUAUUUGGGUCCUCUUUGGCGCCCCCUAGAACAUAGACCGUGGGGUGCAGCGUCAUGAUUUUUACAACUUUGAAUGGCCAUGGAGUUUAGAUUGGCCUGAGCAAAUUUGGUGUCAGUGGGACGAAAGCCUUAGGAGGAGUUAGCCACAUUCCAAUGUGUGCGAAAUGGCAAAAAAUGCGAAAUAGCCCUUUAACCGUACAUUUUACUGAUACGCGCGCAUUGACUCUUUCGUAGAUCUUAUUGAGAUACACGUGAUUGUCAAAUUUUGUGUCAAUAUGACGAAGCGUACAGGCGUGACAUUCAACAAUGUGUAUUUUCGCCUUAGAGGACUAGAAAAAAUGGACUUUUUUCUCCUGCCAUGGGGGGGCGCUCUUUUGGCGAGUAAAAAUUCCUUCACAAAUGUGUUGAUGGCUGGACAUUGCAUCAUCCUAGAAAACUUGGAGGCCAGUGAGGACAAAAAUAAAAAGUUAUAAGACUUUUAAGAAUGUGGAUUUUUGGGUUAUCUUUGGCGCCCCCUAGAACGUAAACCGUGGGGUGCAGCAUCAUGAUUUGUACAACUUUUAAUGGCCAUGGGGUGUAGAUUGGCCUGAGCAAAUUUGGUGCCGGUGGAACGAAAGCCUUCGGAGGAGUUAGCGAAAUUCCAAUGUGUGCGGAUCGGCAAAAAAUGCGAAAUAGCCCUUUAACCGUACAUUUGACAGAUAUGCCCGCACUGACUUUUUUGUAGAUCUUAUUGAGAUACACAUGUGUGUCAAAUUUUGUGUCAUUUUGACAAAGCGUACAGGCGUCAGGUGAGUUUUCACCAUAGGGGGCGCUAUGGAGCCAUUUUUCCUUUUUUUGUUUGGGCGACUUCAGAAUAUCAAAUUUUUCACCAGGCCCGGUCGUCCUGCCAAAUUUCCUGAGUUUUCGCCAGUGGGAAGUGGGCCAUUUUCCAGUUUAAAGCGGAGGAAAAAUAACGAAAGAAGAAUCCAUCAGGAACAAGAGGGCUCUCGCAGCUGCUUAGCAGCUACGCUCGGGCCCUAACUAGGGCCCCGGUGGGGCACUGGCGGGCCCGAGCCGUGUCGCGCCGCCCCCAGUGCGACCGCCUACCCCUCCCGAUCGCGUCACACUCAAGGUCCAAAGAUGGUGUGCGCACUUGUCUGUGGUCAUUUACCAUUAUAAUGAAUGGGAGGCGCAGUUUCUACCAAAACGCUCGCUGCAGACAAACUCCAUGUCCUUUUUGAAAAAAGUCUGGACCAUGAGUGAGGGCACAAACACAGCUAGUAUAUAUCCAAAUGGCAAGUUGCUCCUCCUUUCGGUUUUGCCGAGAGAGCGAUGCGUUUGAGCCAUUGAGCGAUGGGCAGGAAAAACUUGACUUUUUCUCCUGCCAUGGGGGGGCGCUCUUUUGGGGAGUAAAAAUUCCUUCACAAAUGUGUUGAUGGCUGGACAUUGCAUCAUCCUAGAAAACUUGGAGGCCAGUGAGGACAAAAAUAAAAAGUAAUAAGACUUUUAAGACUGUGGAUUUUUGGGUUAUCUUUGGCGCCCCCUAGAACCUAAACCGUGGGGUGCAGCGUCAUGAUUUGUACAACUUUGAAUGGCCAUGGGUUGUAGAUUGGCCUGAGCAACUAUGGUGUCAGUGGGACGAAAGCCUUCGGAGGAGUUAGCGAAAUUCCAAUGUGUGCGAAUCGGCAAAAAAUGCAAAAUAGCCCUUUUACCGUACAUUAUACAGAUACGCGCUCUUUGACUUUUUCGUAGAUCUAAUUGAGAUACACAUGAUUGUUAAUUUUUGUGUCAAUAUGACAAAGAGUUCAGGCGUGACACUCAACAAUGUGUAUUUUCACCUUAGGGGACAAGAAAAAAUUGACUUUUUUCUCCUGCCAUGGGGGGGGCGCUCUUUUGGGGAGUAAAAAUUCCUUCACACAUGUGUUGAUGGCUGGACAUAGCAUCAUCCUCGAAAACUUGGAGGCCAGUGAGGACAAAAAUAAAAAGUAAUAAGACUUUUAAGAAUGUGGAUUUUUGGGUUAUCUUUGGCGCCCCCUAGAACAUAAACCGUGGGGUGCAACGUCAUGAUUUGUACAACUUUGAAUGGCCAUGGGGUGUAGAUUGGCCUGAGCAAAUUUGGUGCCGGUGGAACGAAAGCCUUCGGAGGAGUUAGCGAAAUUCCAAUGUGUGCGGAUCGGCAAAAAAUGCGAAAUAGCCCUUUAACCGUACAUUUGACAGAUACGCCCGCACUGACUUUUUUGUAGAUCUUAUUGAGAUACACAUGUGUGUCAAAUUUUGUGUCAUUUUGACAAAGCGUACAGGCGUCAGGUGAGUUUUCACCAUAGGGGGCGCUAUGGAGCCAUUUUUCAUUUUUUUGUUUGGGCGACUUCAGAAUAUCAAAUUUUUCACCAGGCCCGGUCGUCCUGCCAAAUUUCCUGAGUUUUCGCCAGUGGGAAGUGGGCCAUUUUCCAGUUUAAAGCGGAGGAAAAAUAACGAAAGAAGAAUCCAUCAGGAACAAGAGGGCUCUCGCAGCUGCUUAGCAGCUACGCUCGGGCCCUAACUAGGACCCCGUUGGGGCACUGGCGGGCCCGAGCUGUGUCGCGUCCCCCCCCAACGCGCUGCCUCCCCGUCCCAUUUGUUUCCUCUGGCCAUCGCCCUCUCUGGUAACGCCCAUCACUGCAAAGACCCUUUUCCUUCAUCGGCGUUUGCUGUUCUUCCUGCCAGUGCGUGUUGCUUUCACUUACACUUGCCACAGCCAGCCUCGUGAGUGCCUAGCCUAUUGGAUAUCACUGUCAUCUACACAGGACAGUCAUAACCUUUCUAUUAAUACUUUGUUUUUUAAUUUCACAUUAAUUUCCAUAUUGUAUAAAUGACUGGAAAAAACUUGAGCCCCUGCCCCUGUAUAAUCAUGUGCACGUCCCUGUUCUAGCUCCAAGGUGAAUCUUCACUGCUCAUGUUCUCCUCAGAAAUAGUCACCUCACUCCCCUCAGGUUACUGUACACAUGCACCAACUAUCUGCUUCAGGUUUGGAUGGAACUUCAUGGUUGUCUUUUGGAGAAAUGAACAGUCAAGUUGUGUUUGAAAUUUGAUUUUUUUCAGGGGCAAAAGGAAGCCUCUGCAUUCUUGUCAAAUAUGUAAACAGCAUGUUUUUGCAGGUGCUAAAAAACAGACUCUGACUGUGUGUGUGUGUGUGUGUGUGUGUGUGUGUGUGUGUGUGUGUGUGUGUGUGUGUGUGUUGGCGUGUGUGUAUAUGUGUGUGUAUCCUGCAGUACUCUGUACUCCUGCAGUGGCCAUAAAGACUUUUAAGAAUGUGGAUUUUUGGGUCAUCUUUGGCGCCCCCUAGAACUGCAGUACUCUGUACUCCUGCAGUGGCCAAAAUGACUUUUAAGAAUGUGGAUUUUUGGGUCAUCUUUGGCGCCCCCUAGAACGUAAACCGUGGGGUGCAGCGUCAUGAUUUUUACAACUUUGAAUGGCCAUGGAGUGUAGAUUGCCCUGAGCAAAUUUGGUAUCAGUGGGACGAAAGCCUUAGGAGGAGAUAGCCACAUUCCAAUGUGUGCGAAUCGGCAAAAAAUGCGAAAUAGCCCUUUAACCGUACAUUAUACAGAUACGCGCUCUUUGACUUUUUCGUAGAUCUAAUUGAGAUACACAUGAUUGUCAAUUUUUGUGUCAAUAUGACAAAGCGUUCAGGCGUGACACUCAACAAUGUGUAUUUUCAUGUAAGGGGACAAGAAAAAAUUGACUUUUUUCUCCUGCCAUGGGGGGGCGCUCUUUUGGGGAGUAAAAAUUCCUUCAAAAAUGUGUUGAUGGCUGGACAUUGCAUCAUCCUAGAAAACUUGGAGGGCAGUGAGGACAAAAAUAAAAAGUUAUAAGACUUUUAAGAAUGUGGAUUUUUGGGUUAUCUUUGGCGCCCCCUAGAACCUAAACCGUGGGGUGCAGCGUCAUGAUUUGUACAACUUUUAAUGGCCAUGGGGUGUAGACUGGCCUGAGCAAAUGUGGUGCCGGUGGAACGAAAGCCUUCGGAGGAGUUAGCGAAAUUCCAAUGUGUGCGGAUCGGCAAAAAAUGCGAAAUAACCCUUUAACCGUACAUUUGACAGAUACGCCCGCACUGACUUUUUUGUAGAUCUUAUUGAGAUACAUAUGUGUGUCAAUUUUUGUGUCAAUAUGACAAAACGUACAGACGUGACAGUCAAUAGUGUGAAUUUCCACCUUAGGGGGCGCUAUGGAGCCAUUUUGCAUUUUAUUGUUUGGGCGACUUCAGAAUAUCGAAUUUUUCACCAGGCCCGGUCGUCCUGCCAAAUUUCAUGAGUUUUCGCCAGUGGGAAGUGGGCCAUUUUCCAGUUUAAAGCGGAGGAAAAAUAAUAACUAGGGCCCCGUUGGGGCACUGGCGGGCCCGAGCCGCGUCGCGCCGCCCCCAGCGCGACCGCCUCCCUGAUCCAUUAGGUUUAAAUAGAAAAAGCAUUAAAAUAUGUUAGGAUUAUAGCAUAUGACAAAUGUGUGCCUCUCAGUGGCCAUAACUACUUUGUCUGCUGGCUCUGCAGUCGAUUGACGCUCCCCAGCGUUCAAGUCACAUGACAAAUUUAACCGGAUGUAGCUGCAAGACGGAGCCUCGUUGACUCUCCGUUUCAACUUAUCUCCAAAGUGAGGACCUUAAACUAUGUACCAGUUUUUAAAUUGUGUUGAUAGGCCAAAUAAAACCAGAGUUAUGAUAAAUUAUGUCUGCGAUACUUUUUUUCUGCUUAUUUUGAUCACGUUCGGCGCUAGAUCGCACUGUAUGAGACAGGAAAACAUAGCAUGCAGACAUUAGCGACAGCUCUUACAGGCGGAAAAGGCUUGCCAAAAGAAAAAACAAAAACACACCACAACAUCUCUCCUAUUGGUGGAAAACUUCACCACAACAACCAAUCCAAAAUUAUAUGGUGACUGAUUGACAAGGGGCGGGCGCUUACGUUCUUCCUGCAACAUGAGAAGGGAUGGAGGGACUCUCAGCAGGGAUGCAGUCUGGGACACGUAGUUGCAAACCUAGCGACUUUGUUGUUAGAUUCAAUGACUUUUCAGACCCCCUAACGACUUUUUUUUUUAAAGAAAGGGACUUUUAUCGACUUCUUCUGGAGUUUAGAGACUCUGACAUGAAGCAGGCUUUCCUUACUGAGGAGUUAGCAACGCUGCUAAGGGUGCAGAGCCACACAUGCACUCAGAGCUCUGCAUGGGAGACUGAAGCUGACAGAGCUGCAGCAGUUAGCAGGUUUCACCCUCAGAGACCACCAGGGGUUCAUGUUGAGGCAUUUUCAGUUUGUUUUAUUGUUUUUUUGCCAUCGACACUGUCAGCACAAUCUGCAGUUACACUAACAAAAAUGCUGGACAAAACAAAGAAUUAUGGAAAAAUUACACAUGGACUAACAUAGAGGAGGAUCUACACAAGUUUUUUACAUCAUGUUUUACAUCAUGCAUCAUUUACAUCAUGUUUUUUUUUGUAGUGGCAUAAAUAAAAAGUGACAUUUGUGAGACUAUACAGUGUUUUGUAAAUAAUUUUACAAAGAACGCCUGGGCCAUUGCCUGCAUUUUGAUGUAAAUAGAUUUAAAUUACUAUGUUCUUUGUUAAAAAUUUGCAAAUGUUUUGAAGUUUAAAAUUUUUAUUUGAUGUUUAAGUUUUAAAACAGUUCAUCACACAUAUUUGUGGUUUUCACAGUAAAAAUGUUACUUUUUUCCACUCGGAUAUUAUGUUUUGUGUGUGAAUUUGGGUCCAUUGUGUAAAAACAGUAUGUGAAAAUGAUAAAAUAACUGUAAAGUCACACAGGUGAGGUUGUGCUGAAAAAAAUGAUACCAGGCAAGGCAAGGUAAAAAAAUUUUAAGAGGAAAUAUAAAGGUAAAAUCUAAAGUAGUCAAAAACGGCCAAUAGUGACUCCCAGUCUCCAUAGACAAGUCCCUUUGGCGCCACUCAGUGGGCAAAACUACUUUGUCUGCUGUAAUGUAUAUUUGGGUCAUCUUUGGCGCCCCCUAGAACCUAAACCGUGGGGUGCAGCGUCAUGAUUUGUACAACUUUUAAUGGCCAUGGGGUGUAGAUUGGCCUGAGCAAAUGUGGUGCCGGUGGAACGAAAGCCUUCGGAGGAGUUAGCGAAAUUCCAAUGUGUGCGGAUCGGCAAAAAAUGCGAAAUAGCCCUUUAACCGUACAUUAUACAGAUACGCGCUCUUUGACUUUUUCGUAGAUCUUAUUGAGAUACACGUGUGUGUCAAAUUUUGUGUCAAUAUGACAAAGCGUUCAGGCAUGACACUCAACAAUGUGUAUUUUCACCUUAGGGGACAAGAAAAAAUGGACUUUUUUCUCCUGCCAUGGGGGGCGCUCUUUUGGGGAGUAAAAAUUUCUUCACAAAUGUGUUGAUGGCUGGACAUUGCAUCAUCCUAGAAAACUUGGAGGCCAGUGAGGACAAAAAUAAAAAGUUAUAAGACUUUUAAGAAUGUGGAUUUUUGGGUUAUCUUUGGCGCCCCCUAGAAUGUAAACCGUGGGGUGCAGCGCCAUGAUUUGUACAACUUUUAAUGGCCAUGGGGUGUAGAUUGUCCUGAGCAAAUUUGUUGCCGGUGGAACGAAAGCCUUCGGAGGAGUUAGCGAAAUUCCAAUGUGUGCGGAUCGGCAAAAAAUGCGAAAUAGCCCUUUAACCGUACAUUUGACAGAUACGCCAGCACUGACUUUUUUGUAGAUCUUAUUGAGAUACACAUGUGUGUCAAAUUUUGUGUCAUUUUGACAAAGCGUACAGGCGUCAGGUGAGUUUUCACCAUAGGGGGCGCUAUGGAGCCAUUUUUCAUUUUUUUGUUUGGGCGACUUCAGAAUAUCGAAUUUUUCACCAGGCCCGGUCGUCCUGCCAAAUUUCCUGAGUUUUCGCCAGUGGGAAGUGGGCCAUUUUCCAGUUUAAAGCGGAGGAAAAAUAACGAAAGAAGAAUCCAUCAGGAACAAGAGGGCUCUCGCAGCUGCUUAGCAGCUACGCUCGGGCCCUAAUAAUAAUAACAAAAGAAGAAUCCAUCAGGAACAAGAGGGCUCUCGCAGCUGCUUAGCAGCUACGCUCGGGCCCUAACGAAAGAAGGAAACAUGCAGGAACAAGAGGGCUCUCGCAGCUGCUUAGCAGCUACGCUCGGGCCCUAAUAAUAACUAGGGCCCCGGUGGGGCACUGUCGGGCCCGAGCCGCGUCGCGCCGCCCCCAGCGCGACCGCCUCCACCUCCCGAUCGCGUCACACUCUAGGUCCAAAGAUGGAGUGCGCACUUGUCUGUGGUCAUUUCCCAUUAUAAUGAAUGGGAGGCGCAGUUUCUACCAAAACACUCGCUGCAGACAAACUACAUGUCCUAUUUGAAAAAAGUCUGGACCAUGAGUGAGGGCACAAACACAGCUAGGAUAUAUCCAAAUGGCAAGUUGCUCCUCCUUUCGCUUUUGCCGAGAGAGCGAUGCGAUUGAGCCAUUGAGCGAUGGGCAGGAAAAACUUGACUUUUUCUCCUGCCAUGGGGGGAGGGGGGGGGAUGUGGAUUCUUUUAAGAAUGUGGAUAUUUGGGUCAUCUUUGGCACCCCCUAGAACGUAAACCGUGGGGUGCAGCGUCAUGAUUUUUACAACUUUGAAUGGCCAUGGGGUGUAGAUUGGCCUGAGCAAAUUUGGUG
Non-coding RNA from Xyrichtys novacula (pearly razorfish), 31148 nucleotides. The record is from the annotation of a GenBank genome assembly. NCBI's taxonomy places the organism in Eukaryota, Metazoa, Chordata, Actinopteri, Labriformes, Labridae.